AGAGUCGCCCGGAUCACCGCGUUGUCGCAAGACACCGAGGAAAGUCCGGACUUCACAGAGCAAGGUGGUGGGUAACGCCCACCUGGAGCAAUCCACGGGAUAGUGCAACAGAAAGUAAACCGCCAAUAUCUAGUUCGCUGGAGAUUGGUAAGGGUGAAACGGCGGUGUAA
RNAcentral lists this RNase P RNA (170 nucleotides) under Candidatus Planktophila sp. Its description in RNAcentral is "partial RNase P RNA component class A". It matches the Rfam family "Bacterial RNase P class A", at positions 1 to 170 of the family's 367-position model. Rfam says of the family: Ribonuclease P (RNase P) is a ubiquitous endoribonuclease, found in archaea, bacteria and eukarya as well as chloroplasts and mitochondria. The record is from RNAcentral. Lineage: Bacteria; Bacillati; Actinomycetota; Actinomycetes; Candidatus Nanopelagicales; Candidatus Nanopelagicaceae.